UACACACCGCCCGUCACACCAUGGAAGUUGGUUGCACCAGAAGUCGGUAGCUUAACCUUCGGGAGAGCGCCGCCCACGGUGUGGCUAAUGACUGGGGUG
Molecule: ribosomal RNA, 99 nt
Filed under: uncultured bacterium
Lineage: Bacteria
Description: partial 16S ribosomal RNA
Rfam family: Bacterial small subunit ribosomal RNA
Source: RNAcentral